CCUUCGAACAGAUGGAUCUCGAGUCUACAGUGUAGAGACACUAGAGUUUGAGUACAGGUGAUUGUUAGAGAAUAAUUAGCACUGAGCGUGACCAACAUGAGAAGUCAUAUGGAUAUCUGCUCACUUGUUAGUGACUUUCUCAAUGCUGCAGUUGUAUGACUGGUCCUUUGAUCUGAGAUGACACUACUGCUCGCAGUGAGGCUGCUGAUGUUUGACUGAUACAUCAACAUGGAUCUCAAGGAGCGCUUGUAGUAGAUGUUAGCGAUAGUUGAUCCACUAUAGGAGUGGGGUGUGCAUUAAGAUGGAAUCUAUUGAUCCUAGUGGAAGGGAGUAGUCCUAUGGGAUUUAAGAGGCUGGGUCCUUAAGUCUAUGGCCAUAACAAUGUGAUUGAUGGAAAAAAGUUUUCAUAGAAUCACAUAUGGACUUAAACUAAUUGAAUCUAUCAUAUGAUCGAUGUUGAGAUUUGAUGAUUUAUCCAUGACAUGUCAUUUAGUCGGAACUCACGAUAAAGGGACUGAAUCACACGUUAACUACACCUAGAGGUUCAUUUUAGUUCUACUAGGUUGCCACUAUAUUUGCUAGGUGUCACUAGUGGAUUGUGAGAGCUCACUAAGGUUAUUCUGGAUCGA
RNAcentral lists this long non-coding RNA (629 nucleotides) under Elaeis guineensis (African oil palm). RNAcentral describes it as "long non-coding RNA (EGUI_LNC070239)". The record is from RNAcentral. Lineage: Eukaryota; Viridiplantae; Streptophyta; Magnoliopsida; Arecales; Arecaceae.